RNAcentral lists this ribosomal RNA (28 nucleotides) under Cryphonectria parasitica (chestnut blight fungus). Its description in RNAcentral is "partial 28S ribosomal RNA". RNAcentral also lists the same sequence under 19 other names. The record is from RNAcentral. Lineage: Eukaryota; Fungi; Ascomycota; Sordariomycetes; Diaporthales; Cryphonectriaceae.
UUGACCUCGGAUCAGGUAGGAAUACCCG